Mycena leptocephala is the source of this 95-nucleotide non-coding RNA. NCBI's taxonomy places the organism in Eukaryota, Fungi, Basidiomycota, Agaricomycetes, Agaricales, Mycenaceae. The record is from the annotation of a GenBank genome assembly.
GCCACCGUGGACCGUGGUGGUCGCCGUCCAAUAGUGAAUGAAGUUUGGCCGACGGUUGACUGACGGAGGCGGAGGUUCGAUUCCUCCCGGUGGCA